This is a long non-coding RNA of Canis lupus familiaris (dog), 1281 nucleotides long. RefSeq lists it as uncharacterized. The record is from RefSeq and is a predicted model, not a curated record. NCBI's taxonomy places the organism in Eukaryota, Metazoa, Chordata, Mammalia, Carnivora, Canidae. The transcript is spliced from 5 exons.
AGAGAGAGAAAGCAAGCCCACGAGGGAGAGGGAGAAGCAGGGUCCCAGCUGAGCAAAGAGCUCAAUGGAAGGCUUGAUUCCAGGAGUCUGGGUUCAUGAACUGAGCCACUCAGAUGGAAAUUGAAAGCCCUUAUGAACUGUCAUGGCAAGAAUAUCAGCUUGUGUUGGCCUGUGAAGGGAUCGUGAGUCAUUGUGUGGCUGUAUUUGUUAUGAGCUCUGAGACUCACCAGGUGGUACAAUAUCAAUGCUCAACUUAUGGAGAAAAAUCAAUGAACACAGAAGAUUUCAAGUUAAUUAUGCCCCACAACCUCUUUUAUGAGCUCCGUUGAGCAGGAAGUGGAAGGAGCACUGAGCAGAUGUGGAGAGACACAGAUUCCAGUCCUGUCACCACUACAACAAGGCAGGCUGUCUCCUUUCUGGGAGCAGGUUUUCAUCCAGACAACCUGGAGAACACAUGGUUACAGACAUGUCUUUGGAUCAUCAGUGUCAUUUUACUUAUAGAUGGCCUUCAGGUUCUCCCUGCUUGCUGUCCUAGAUAUUUGUUUCACCAUGACCAAAGUCCUUGGACCACUAAGUAAGUUUGUUGAGUAAAGGGCAUGAGGUAUUUGAAUCUGGGCCUGGUCAGGAUUUCAGGUUUCUAGACAAUUCAAUUAAUGCCUUUGUCUUAAUACUCAUUAAAAAAUUGAAUAAAAAUAAUUGCUUUACCUACUUUAUAGAAAGAAUGAGGAGUAUAAGCACUUUAUAAAAUGCUUUACCAGAACAUGUAAGUUAUAUGUUUCAUAACACAGAGUUUGUGAGUUAUUUUUCUUAUGUCUAAUCUUUCUAAGCAGCUUAUAAACUCAUAAUGAGUAGGACUCAAUCUUUUCACUCCAGUGGUUCCCAUGUCAGUUGCUCAUUAGUCCUGUUUGGGAAGCUUUUGAAAGACAUACAUUCUUAGCACCUGACCCAUCCCAGAUAUCCUGACUCUGGGAUAUGGGCUCGUGCAUAAGAGGUACCAUCUGAUUUGGGCAAGGCCAGAUUGGGGAACUAUUUGUACAUAGUAAUGGAAAUUCUCCACCUCCAGCAAUGCCCAGUAUCAGGACACAGUAGGAACGUCUAUUUGAUAAUGGACAAAGAUUAAAAUAAAAUGUCUCUGCAAGAGGUAAGGUUUUGAAAAUGUCACACUCAUUUAUAAAUAGCAAUAUUAUAUGUUGAUUAGAACAGGUGUUAAUAGAAGAAUGAGUCUAAGAGGCCAAUUUUGAAGCUAAAACUGAUCAUCUGGUCUUGAAUCCUGACUUCACU